GACGAACGUUGGCGGCGUGCUUAACACAUGCAAGUCGAACGGAAAGGCCCUGCUUUUGUGGGGUGCUCGAGCGGCGAACGGGUGAGUAACACGUGAGUAACCUGCCCUUGACUUUGGGAUAACUUCAGGAAACUGGGGCUAAUACCGGAUAGGAGCUCCUGCUGCAUGGUGGGGGUUGGAAAGUUUCGGCGGUUGGGGAUGGACUCGCGGCUUAUCAGCUUGUUGGUGGGGUAGUGGCUUACCAAGGCUUUGACGGGUAGCCGGCCUGAGAGGGUGACCGGCCACAUUGGGACUGAGAUACGGCCCAGACUCCUACGGGAGGCAGCAGUGGGGAAUAUUGCACAAUGGGCGGAAGCCUGAUGCAGCAACGCCGCGUGCGGGAUGACGGCCUUCGGGUUGUAAACCGCUUUCGCCUGUGACGAAGCGUGAGUGACGGUAAUGGGUAAAGAAGCACCGGCUAACUACGUGCCAGCAGCCGCGGUGAUACGUAGGGUGCGAGCGUUGUCCGGAUUUAUUGGGCGUAAAGGGCUCGUAGGUGUUGAUCGCGUCGGAAGUGUAAUCUUGGGGCUUAACCCUGAGCGUGCUUUCGAUACGGGUUGACUUGAGGAAGGUAGGGGAGAAUGGAAUUCCUGGUGGAGCGGUGGAAUGCGCAGAUAUCAGGAGGAACACCAGUGGCGAAGGCGGUUCUCUGGGCCUUUCCUGACGCUGAGGAGCGAAAGCGUGGGGAGCGAACAGGCUUAGAUACCCUGGUAGUCCACGCUGUAAACGGUGGGUACUAGGUGUGGGGUCCAUUCCACGGGUUCCGUGCCGUAGCUAACGCUUUAAGUACCCCGCCUGGGGAGUACGGCCGCAAGGCUAAAACUCAAAGGAAUUGACGGGGCCCCGCACAAGCGGCGGAGCAUGCGGAUUAAUUCGAUGCAACGCGUAGAACCUUACCUGGGUUUGACAUGGAUCGGGAGUGCUCAGAGAUGGGUGUGCCUCUUUUGGGGUCGGUUCACAGGUGGUGCAUGGCUGUCGUCAGCUCGUGUCGUGAGAUGUUGGGUUAAGUCCCGCAACGAGCGCAACCCUUGUUCACUGUUGCCAGCACGUUAUGGUGGGGACUCAGUGGAGACCGCCGGGGUCAACUCGGAGGAAGGUGGGGAUGACGUCAAGUCAUCAUGCCCCUUAUGUCCAGGGCUUCACGCAUGCUACAAUGGCUGGUACAGAGAGUGGCGAGCCUGUGAGGGUGAGCGAAUCUCGGAAAGCCGGUCUCAGUUCGGAUUGGGGUCUGCAACUCGACCUCAUGAAGUCGGAGUCGCUAGUAAUCGCAGAUCAGCAACGCUGCGGUGAAUACGUUCCCGGGGCU
This 1345-nucleotide ribosomal RNA is filed under the name uncultured bacterium. RNAcentral describes it as "partial 16S ribosomal RNA". It matches the Rfam family "Bacterial small subunit ribosomal RNA", at positions 28 to 1381 of the family's 1533-position model. The record is from RNAcentral.